RNAcentral lists this ribosomal RNA (465 nucleotides) under uncultured bacterium. Its description in RNAcentral is "partial 16S ribosomal RNA". It matches the Rfam family "Bacterial small subunit ribosomal RNA", at positions 28 to 507 of the family's 1533-position model. The record is from RNAcentral.
GAUGAACGCUGGCGGCGUGCUUAACACAUGCAAGUCGAACGGAAAGGCUCCUGCUUGCAGGGGUACUCGAGUGGCGAACGGGUGAGUAACACGUGGGUGAUCUGCCCUGCACUUCGGGAUAAGCCUGGGAAACUGGGUCUAAUACCGGAUAGGACGAUGGUUUGGAUGCCAUUGUGGAAAGUUUUUCGGUGUGGGAUGAGCUUGCGGCCUAUCAGCUUGUUGGUGGGGUAAUGGCCUACCAAGGCGUCGACGGGUAGCCGGCCUGAGAGGGUGUACGGCCACAUUGGGACUGAGAUACGGCCCAGACUCCUACGGGAGGCAGCAGUGGGGAAUAUUGCACAAUGGGCGCAAGCCUGAUGCAGCGACGCCGCGUGGGGGAUGACGGCCUUCGGGUUGUAAACUCCUUUCGCUAGGGACGAAGCGCAAGUGACGGUACCUGGAGAAGAAGCACCGGCUAACUACGUG